This 497-nucleotide ribosomal RNA is filed under the name uncultured bacterium. RNAcentral's name for it is "partial 16S ribosomal RNA". It matches the Rfam family "Bacterial small subunit ribosomal RNA", at positions 28 to 507 of the family's 1533-position model. The record is from RNAcentral.
GAUGAACGCUGGCGGCGUGCCUAAUACAUGCAAGUCGAGCGAACGGACGAGAAGCUUGCUUCUCUGAUGUUAGCGGCGGACGGGUGAGUAACACGUGGAUAACCUACCUAUAAGACUGGGAUAACUUCGGGAAACCGGAGCUAAUACCGGAUAAUAUUUUGAACCGCAUGGUUCAAAAGUGAAAGACGGUCUUGCUGUCACUUAUAGAUGGAUCCGCGCUGCAUUAGCUAGUUGGUAAGGUAACGGCUUACCAAGGCAACGAUGUAUAGCCGACCUGAGAGGGUGAUCGGACACACUGGAACUGAGACACGGUCCAGACUCCUACGGGAGGCAGCAGUAGGGAAUCUUCCGCAAUGGGCGAAAGCCUGACGGAGCAACGCCGCGUGAGUGAUGAAGGUCUUCGGAUCGUAAAACUCUGUUAUUAGGGAAGAACAUAUGUGUAAGUAACUGUGCACAUCUUGACGGUACCUAAUCAGAAAGCCACGGCUAACUACGUG